AGUGAACGCUGGCGGUAGGCCUAACACAUGCAAGUCGAACGGCAGCACAGUAAGAGCUUGCUCUUACGGGUGGCGAGUGGCGGACGGGUGAGGAAUACAUCGGAAUCUACUUUUUCGUGGGGGAUAACGUAGGGAAACUUACGCUAAUACCGCAUACGACCUACGGGUGAAAGCAGGGGAUCUUCGGACCUUGCGCGAAUGAAUGAGCCGAUGUCGGAUUAGCUAGUUGGCGGGGUAAAGGCCCACCAAGGCGACGAUCCGUAGCUGGUCUGAGAGGAUGAUCAGCCACACUGGAACUGAGACACGGUCCAGACCCCUACGGGAGGCAGCAGUGGGGAAUAUUGGACAAUGGGCGCAAGCCUGAUCCAGCCAUACCGGGUGGGUGAAGAAGGCCUUCGGGUUGUAAAGCCCUUUUGUUGGGAAAGAAAAGCAGCAGGUUAAUACCCCGCUGUUCUGACGGUACCCAAAGAAUAAGCACCGGCUAACUUCGU
This 491-nucleotide ribosomal RNA is filed under the name uncultured bacterium. Its description in RNAcentral is "partial 16S ribosomal RNA". It matches the Rfam family "Bacterial small subunit ribosomal RNA", at positions 29 to 506 of the family's 1533-position model. The record is from RNAcentral.